CCUUCGAUAGCUCAGCUGGAAGAGCGUGGGACUGUAAUUUGUAUCCUUAGCUUAAUGCUAUCCCAAGGCCGCUGGUUCGAUCCCGGCUCGAAGGA
This is a non-coding RNA of Russula compacta, 95 nucleotides long. Lineage: Eukaryota; Fungi; Basidiomycota; Agaricomycetes; Russulales; Russulaceae. The record is from the annotation of a GenBank genome assembly.